GUAUUUUUGGAGGAGACGGGAUUUUUUCUCCUUAGAAUAAUGUCAUUUCUACUUCAGCAAUUCCUCACACUGCAACUAGAAUAAUAUUGAUAUGAUACAAUGACCAACCCUCUUCCAAGUCAGAUGCUUGUCAAUGGCCCCCCAUUGCCCUCAAGAUAAUGUCUAAGCCUCCCUAACACGGCUAACAGACUUUUAAAACCUGUCACUUUCAGGACGCUGCUCACUCUUGCACACUAUUCUCAAGCCAUAUUCCAUUCCACGUAGUGCCCAUU
Ceratotherium simum simum (southern white rhinoceros) is the source of this 272-nucleotide non-coding RNA. NCBI's taxonomy places the organism in Eukaryota, Metazoa, Chordata, Mammalia, Perissodactyla, Rhinocerotidae. The record is from RefSeq and is a predicted model, not a curated record.